CAGUCGUACGCACUGGCCCAACUGAUUGAUGGUGCUUGCACCUGAUUGACGUUGGAUCACCAGUGAGUGGCGGACGGGUGAGUAACACGUAGGUAACCUGCCCCGGAGCGGGGGAUAACAUUUGGAAACAGAUGCUAAUACCGCAUAACAACAAAAGCCACAUGGCUUUUGUUUGAAAGAUGGCUUUGGCUAUCACUCUGGGAUGGACCUGCGGUGCAUUAGCUAGUUGGUAAGGUAACGGCUUACCAAGGCGAUGAUGCAUAGCCGAGUUGAGAGACUGAUCGGCCACAAUGGAACUGAGACACGGUCCAUACUCCUACGGGAGGCAGCAGUAGGGAAUCUUCCACAAUGGGCGCAAGCCUGAUGGAGCAACACCGCGUGAGUGAAGAAGGGUUUCGGCUCGUAAAGCUCUGUUGUUGGAGAAGAACGUGCGUGAGAGUAACUGUUCACGCAGUGACGGUAUCUAACCAGAAAGCCACGGCUAACUACGUGCCAGCAGCCGCGGUAAUACGUAGGUGGCAAGCGUUAUCCGGAUUUAUUGGGCGUAAAGGGAACGCAGGCGGUCUUUUAAGUCUGAUGUGAAAGCCUUCGGCUUAACCGGAGUAGUGCAUUGGAAACUGGGAGACUUGAGUGCAGAAGAGGAGAGUGGAACUCCAUGUGUAGCGGUGAAAUGCGUAGAUAUAUGGAAGAACACCAGUGGCGAAAGCGGCUCUCUGGUCUGUAACUGACGCUGAGGUUCGAAAGCGUGGGUAGCAAACAGGAUUAGAUACCCUGGUAGU
RNAcentral lists this ribosomal RNA (779 nucleotides) under uncultured bacterium. RNAcentral describes it as "bacterial SSU rRNA". It matches the Rfam family "Bacterial small subunit ribosomal RNA", at positions 59 to 794 of the family's 1533-position model. The record is from RNAcentral.